RNAcentral lists this long non-coding RNA (4894 nucleotides) under Pan troglodytes (chimpanzee). Its description in RNAcentral is "long non-coding RNA NONPTRT000490". The record is from RNAcentral. Lineage: Eukaryota; Metazoa; Chordata; Mammalia; Primates; Hominidae.
CCUGAGUCCCACAGGUGGGCUCAGCCCCUCUCCUUACCGAAUGUAGCCAACUUGAGGCCGGUGCAGAAGCUGCCAGCGAUAGGAGGUCUUGUCCCGCCAGCCCACAUUUCGUGGGUCUGUCCACAGCAGUCGUACCUGAUCAGGGGUGUGGCCAGUAUGCCACAGGGCAUUUCGGAGGUGCUCACCUGGGCCAGACACUGAUGUCACUGCCUAGGAGACAUUGGCAAAGACAGUGAGUCAACUGCAGAACUGGAGUGAGGGGAGACAACAGGUCGGUAAGUGCAGGUGGGAAAGGGAUUCAAGGCGGUCAUGAAAAUGCCCUGGGGCCCCAGAGAGCCGGCCUCCAAGCCAGAUGUCUGGGUAAGAGGGUUCCCAGUCAAGCAGUGGGGGAGGCCCUGGGGCUGCAGAGGAGAGCUUUGGGAAAGGGCCCUGGGUUGCGGAAUCUGAGCAGCUGGGGACCUUGAGCUGCAGCCCGGGCUGGGCAACCGCCCGGAAGGGUGUAGCCUGCCAGUAGGUCUGCUCGGUCUGCUUCCACAUGACUACGUAGAAGCGGCCACUGUCUUGAUAACUGAAGAGAAAGCCUGCGUAGUCAUCAUCAGUCACUGUGUUCACAUGGAAGGUGCCUUCAAAGUCCACACCAUUGAAGGCCGUGUAUCCUGGGGUGGGGGUGGGAUAAAGGUCAGGGGCAGCAAAGCUACUGGCGGCCCAUCAUGGGGUAAAGUUGGGAAGGGAUGCCUGCUAUGUAUGUGGCCAGCUUGUGCCACCGCCUUCUCUCUCGCCACUUUGCCCAUUCUCCCUGUCUGUUUCCUCCCCUACCCUCUGCCCCUAUAGGAUUCCUCCAUUUGGAAGUGAUUGAACUGCAUAUCCCUUACAUACCAACUGCCAAGCCAGGGUCACUGUUCAUGGUCUGAACGAUUUCCAUGCCCUGGGGUUGUAUAGUAAAGAAAAAGCUGUGAUGCAGGUGUGCUAUCCCUCCCAGGCCCCCCGCCCCAGUAGCCCUGUCUGAUAGCACCUGCCCAGCCCACUGCCCCGAGUUACCUGGUUGAGCACAACCCAGUUUGGGUCAAUCUGAGCAUCACCCUCAGGAUCCAGGACGACGGUCUGAUAGGCCCGAAAAUCCGUAAGCGUUACCUCUGCACUUUCAGGACACACAUCCAGGGGGUCGACCACCGCAUCAUUGUCAAAGUCAUCCUCACACACAUCACCAACGCCAUUGCCUGGGCAGAGUGAGGCUGGGUGCUCAGGAAGGCCCUGGCCACUGCCAUUAGGCAACAAUACCAUCUGUUGGGCCUGCAUUCCUGACAUCUUUCCCCACCUUGCCCUUCCUCACUUCCCAACAGGGCUUGCUGCCUCCACCUGGGCAAAGGCAACACCAGUCUAACGUGCUCUGGGUCCACAGGCUUACCAUCUGAGUCCUUCUGAUUGGGAUUGGGUACCAGGCGGCAGUUAUCAGGACCAGGAGGCACAUAAUCUGGGAUGCCAUCAUUGUCAUCAUCCCCAUCACACUCAUCUCCAAGUCCAUCGUUAUCAGAGUCCAGCUGGGAGCUAUUUGGCAGCUGUGGGCAGUUGUCCUUGGUGUCCUGAUGCCCAUCCCCAUCGCUAAUCAGAAGAACAGGUUGGUGAAAGUCCUGAACUUUGUCUCCCCACCCAGAGGACAACUGGCCAGGAAAUCUGCCUGUUUCUUGUCUCACCCUCUAGUCCACACUCUGCCUAACGCUACGCCCUACCUCACAUUCCUAUUGACAUCUGCUGCAGAUCACACCCUUGUGAUGGACAAACUGCUCAGUACAGUCCCACCCACCCAGCCUCCUUGUCCUGGGCACGAGGUUUUUGCCUCCCUGAUUUGGAGUAUUGGGCCCUUACUAGAGAGCUGCCAGAUGAGGUAAGUGAGGCAUGGAGAGGACAGGAGGAGGGGAGAGGAGCUUCAAGGGGCAGGGCAGUCUGGGAGUCACCUCAACAUUCUUGAUCCCAUCCCCAUCAGCAUCAUCAUCACACUGGUCCCCCACACCAUCAUUAUCAGCAUCUUCCUGCCCAGAGUUGGGUGUCAAAAGGCAGUUGUCCUAAAGUUCAGGGGAAGAGGAUGGAUGAGUUCUGGCCUGACCCAGCUUGGGCUCCCCACUACGCCCCCUUGCCCGCCUGCUCCCUGCACCUGUUUGCAGUGUUUGUUGUUGUCCAUGCAGGGCAGUGCUUGGUCUGGGUAGCCAUCGAUGUCUGUGUCAGUCCCACACACGUUCCCAUUCCCAGCCCAGCCCACGUUACACUAGGGCAACACAAAGGGUAGGAGCUAGCAGUUUGGUCUGGCUCCCCUCCUCCCUCUAUUUUCCCUGCUUCAGGUCCUAUUCUCCCCACCAAACAGUUCCUGGGCCCAGGCCCACCUCUCUCCUAUGAAGGCCCCCAACCCAGGCCCUAAACAUAGCCCUACUCCUUUCCCCAGACCCUCCCUUUUCCUUCCACGCCUGAAGCCUAGCUCACCUGGCAGGACACUGCACCAUUGCGUUCAAAGAGACAGUGAGCAUGGAUGUGGCAGGGGCUGUGGGCUGGGCUGUGGCAGGUCCGGGCUGGGAGGCAGCCCUGGCUCUGGUUGCCCAGGAAACCCAGGCGGCAGGGACCACACUUGAAAGAGCCCUAAGAGUGGAGAGGCAGCAUCUUAGGAAGGAGGGUGAGCCCACCAGGCACCCAGGACCAGCACUGCUCCACCUGCGGGGUGUGGGCUGGGCACUCAAUUAUGCCAGGCAUAUCAGUAUCUCCUUUAGGUUCUCAUGACAACCUUUCAGGGUGGAUAACAGCCUCAGUUUUCAGAUGAGGAAGCUGAGGCUCAGAAAAGUUAAAUAACCUGCCAAAGAGCUAGCAAGAGGCAAACCAGUAUUCCAAACCAAGUCCAUGUGAACACCUAAUCUGUGUAGUGCCCUGGGGAGGAGGAAAGGCAGCAGGAAAUUUGAAGGUAAGAAGGGGCGGGGGUUGGGGUUUUAGCAUUCCCACCACCCCAGAAUACACUCAGGAUAUUCAGCUCACCACAGUGUUGGUGCAGAUGGAGUUUGGGUCACAGCCACCAUUGUUGCCAUCGUUGCAUUCAUCGAUGUCAUUGCAGACCUGAAGGGGCAGACUUUGGGUGGAACCAGACCUAUGGUGGGUCUCCUCAGAUACAGCAGAGGACACUGGUAUGGCCUUAUCUGUGAACAUCAACAUUAAGCCCAGACCCAAAGCCGAUGCAAAGCCAUCCAUGUCCCAUUCAUCACAAGGGUCCCAUGUCCAACCCAGAAGCCCCUGGCCUCUACAAGGCCAAGAUCCCUUGUCCACACACACUACCCAGUCUGACCUGUUUGCUGGCCCGGGCAUAGUCAAUGCCCACACCAGACACCUGUGUGCCCUUGUACCCUCGAGGACAGGCCUCACAGUGGAAGCCGGGCAUGGUGUUGAUGCAGCUGGAGCCCGGGAAACAGGGGUCAGCGUGAGCACACUGGGGACCAGAUGAGAAGGCAGAGGUCAGGCCGCCCUCUGGGAAACUCAGGUCCCUGCCUGUGAUCCAGGAACCAUUGCUCCAGGUCUCCCCUUUGUGCAGCUCUCCCCACACAACUGCCUUGUGCUCCUGGUCCCCACCCCGCUUCCCUCGGGGUUCCCUCUCUCCCUCCCCAUGCCACUGGUCGCCAUCUCAAGCCCCCCUGCAGUUUCCCCAGCUCCUUCCCUGUAUGGCCUUCAGUCUUUGCCCCAGGCCUUCUGUCUCUCCCAUCUUGCAUUUCUCUUGCCUCUGACCUCUCCUAAACUCCAGAUUCCUCUCCUCCGGACCAGCAUUUAUCCCACCCUCUUGGGCGCCUCCUGACAUCCUCACCCCAGUUUUCUGUACCCUUCUGGGCUCUGCCCUCCCCCACCUCAUUGAUGUCACUGCAGUGGGUGCCGUUGCCCUGCAGGCCAGGGGGGCAGGGCCCACAGCGGUAGCCUGGGUACUCGUACACUUCCAUGCAGUCCACACCUCGGAAGCAGGGAUUGGGGCUGCAGUGGGAACGCUGCUCAUGGAAGCCUGAGGGGUGGACACAGUCAGAGCUACCCGGUGGUCACUAUUUAAGCCACCAGAAGGGAAAGCCAAAGCCAUUGGGUGGGGAACGUGGCACAGUCAUGUGGAGCCUCCCCUGCUCUCCCACUCACCGCACACCUGACACUCCAUAAUGGUGUUUCGGAUCAGGGACAUUUCCUUCACCUGGAGAAGGAUGGGGAGGAGUCAGCACUUGACAUCUGCCACCCUACCCCAGAAUCAGUGCCACCCUUCGCCAGCCCACCCAAACCUGGUCUCGUAUAUCAUCCCGCAGCUCCACCAGGAUCUGGUUGAAGAGGGUGAGUUGGGUGACCAGCGCCUUGGUCUGCUCCCCUGUCGGGACCCAGGGUGUGAGGGGCUCAGUACUGGAGCACCAGUCCUGGGCCCUCCAUGGGCAAUAAGCCAGUACCUGCCACGGCUGCCCACCCCUGCCUUUAACCCUACUACAUUCCUGACUGAAGAGGACUUAGUUUCAGGCAGCUGCCAGAGCCUGGGGCCUCCUCCCCGCUCCCCGCUUCCGCUUCAGUGUGGCCUACUCACCUAGAAUGGAGUGCAGUGCAUUGGUCACUGGAGAGGAGAAGAAAACAUAGUCAGAGGGGUGAGGUGAAGUGAAGAGAGGCCUGGUUGGUGAGAAGAAGGAAGGAAGGUGAGGACAGGGACAGGGCUGGAGCCCCAGAAUAAAGAUGGGGUGCUGGAUGCUGGGAGGGCAGAGCUGGCAGACAAGCAGUGCCAGCUCCUUCUAUGGGGCAAAAGGCCCUCUAAGGGAGUUGCUUCACAGGAAGUUAAAACCCAAAUCCUCCUGGUUCCUAGGCAUGGUAGUAGCAGAAGGGAUGGACCCAAAGCAGGGCCAGGGCCCCAGUAUAUCCC